GGGACAGACAGACACAGCGUGUCUGCCAGUGUGGGGCAAUCUGGAGCACACGGCACCAUCCUUUAAGUAUUUUUGCAAAAAAAAAAAAUUGGCUAUAAGUAACAAAAGGAAUUGAGUUAGCAAAUUCCAGAGAAAAUGUAUAGACCAGACAGACUUCAUAGGAAGAGAACAAGAGUCAGGAGAAACAAGGACAGAAGUGUGGAAGGGCGGGCAUUCUUACGACCGCAAAAGGGAAACAAGCCAAGAACAUAGGAAGGCUCCAACUCAGUGGGGUUAAAGGUCAAGAUCUAAGGCCCAUUGUCGACUCCCGGUUACCCUGGCAACAAGGUCCCCACUUCCAUCGAAGGAAUCAUGCAACGAUUAGAAGCAGGGCAACACCUGGCGAGUGACCGAUGGCCCAGGAGGAGUUUGGGAAGGAUUUGAGCAGCAGACCAUGAAUGAAGCCGGCAAGGAGGAGAAUUGAUGCCUGGGGACACUGGACACACUCUACAGAAUUAACCCACUGUGGUAUUUCUGAAAUCAUUCUAUGCCGUAUAUUCAAGAAACAGGUCCUUCCCAUUGGCCUCAGAUUUCACCGUUAGGGAUUCAAGUCUUUGAGUUCUGGAGGCAUUCUCCCUUUGAAGAACCCCCUGUUAAUAGGUAAUUGCAAGAGAUCCUCAAAAAUAAAUGGAACUGUGGUCACAGAUUGAGAGAUGUGAUAUUGUUGACAAUACCAUCCAAAGCAACACACGGAUUCAAGGCAAUGUCUAUCAAAAUUCCCAUGGUAUUUUCUACAGAAAUGGAAAAAUUCAUCCUAAAAUUCACAUGGAAUUUCAAGGGACCCAGAAUAGCCAAAACAAUCUUGAAAAAGAAAAACAAAGUUAGAGGACACAUGUUUCCCAAUUUCAAAACUUGGUACAAAGAGUAAUCAAAACAGUGUGGUAUUUGCAUAAGAAUAGACAUAGAGACCAAUGAAUUAGAAUUGAGAGCCGAGAAAUCAAUGCUCACAGCUACAGCCAACUGAUUUUCAACAAGAGUGCCAAGAUCAUUCAAUGGGGAAAAAUGAUCUCUUCAACAGAUGGUGCUGAGAAAACCGGACAUCCACAGGCAAAGAAUGAAGUUGGACACUUACUUUACACCAUAUACAAAAAAUUAACUAAAAAUGCAUCAAAGACCUAAAUUUUAAGAGCUAAACUAUAAAACUGUUAGAAGAAAAUGUAAGGGAAAAUCUGCUUGACCUUGAACUUGGCAAUGUUUUCUUAAAUAUGACACCAAAAGCACAGGCAACAAAAGAAAAAAUAGAUAAAUUGGACUUCAUUAAGAUUAAACACUUUUGUGCAUCAAAGGACACUAGCGAGAGAGUGAAAAGACAACCCACAGAACGGGAGAAAAGAUUUGCAAAUCAUACAUCUAAAAUCAUAUAUAAAAAUCAUAUAUCUGGUUUAAAAUCCAGAAUAUAUAAAGAAGUCCAACAACUCAACCACAAAAAGGCGAAAACCCAAUUUUACAGUGGGCAACAAACUUGAAUAGACAUUUCUCCGAAGAAGAUAUACAAAUGGUCAAUAAGCACAUGAAAAGUUGCUUGACAUCGUUAGUCAUUAGGGAAAUGCAAAUCAAAACCGCAAUGAGAUGUCACUUCACACCAAUUAGGAUGGCUAUAAUUUUGGACAAUAGCAGUUAUUGGAGAGGGUGAGAAGAAAUCGGAACACUUGCACAUUGCUGUUGAGAUCAUAACAUGGUGCAGCCGCUGUGGAAGCAGCCUGGCAGUUCCUCAAAAAGUUACACAUCGAAUUUCCAUAUAAGCCAGCAAUUCCGCUCCUAGGUAUAGACCCAAAAGAUUUAAAAAGAGGCACUCAAACACAUGCUUGUCCAGGAGCGUUCGUAGCGGCACUGUUCACAACAGCCACAAGGUGGCAACAACCCAAGUGUCCAUCCACAGAGGAACGGAUAAACAAAUUGUGGUCUAUCCACAUAGUGGAAUAUAAUUCAGCCAUAAAAAGGAAUGAAAUGCAUGGGCUACAGCAUGGAUGAGCCUUGAGGGCCCGUGAACCCGCCCUGGCAUAGCUGAGGGCUGGGGGGCGCCGGGCAGCAGCUGGGCAUCUAGGUGUGCCCGGGGGAUGCACUGAAGAGAGGAGAGCAGGUGGAGGAUCGCACUGGGGUCAGGGCAGCUGAGGCGGACACUGUCGCUGUCCGAGCCGGCAACCAUUCCCAAUUCCUCCUCCCUUGCUGCUUCAUCACUGCUGAACAGUGGAGCCUGUUCCAGCCCCCACGCUGGCCAAUGGGACUUAAGGGGAAGUCUGCUGGGGGCUCCGAAACCUUUAGUUCUCCUGACAAAAGAGAAAGCCUUGGCUGGCCAGCACCACCCAGGGCUCCCUGACUUUGCCUCCAACACUCUGUCAAGUCUGCAGCUGCAAUAGCCAUUGAGCAAAGACAGGGGGCAAGCAUGAGACCCAAAAGCCAGCAGCCUGAGUAGGACAGUGCAGAAGUAGAAGCAUGGGCCCUCCACGACACACCAGCCAGCACCCGCCCCCUCCAGACUUCCCGUCACCGAGAACAUCCCCGGCCGAGCCAGGUACCCAACAUCCCUCCCCAGCGCCAGGAACUCCUCCCCCAGACUCCUCCCCCGGACUCCUCCCCGAAACAAGGCCUGUCUCCUCUCAGUGCUACUGCCACCAAAGCCACUCUCUUGUCACCCCCCAACGCCACUGUCCUCCUAUAUAACACACACCCACACCUCUCCCCAGCCUGAGCCCCGCCUCAGCCAGGCCCAGCUCAGGCCAAACGCCAGCUCACAGCAUUCUCAAGGGCUCCUGGGAGAUGCUGCCAGACCAAGCACACGGGACCACACCCCCUGCCCCAUUCUGCGCUCAGCCAUGGCCACCCUGGGCUCAGCUCCAUGCAUCCUGUCCAGGAAGGAGACGACAGAGCUGCUGAUGGUGACUGUCCCGUGCAUCUGGCACGGAGCUUUUCCUUCACUGCACAUCUGAUUCUUGCCUACAAGGUAGAUACUUUAUCUCCAUCUGACAGAGGGGGAAGCCGACGCUCAGAGCAGCUCUCUCGCCGGAGGUCACCGCCCGGGUCUUGACCAGGAAGCAUCCCCGUGCUCACUCCUGGGCCCCACAGGAGGAGACUGGAUUCCCGCUCAGCGGAUGCCGGGGAGCCUCAUGGAGCAACAAGGCUCCAGGUCCUUCUUCCCCUCCCUGCUCUGCGUCCUGCAGCAAACAGCCUGGACAGGCCCAGCGCAAGGCAGAAACUCCAUCAGCAAAGCUGAUUCUAGGGCCCUGCUCUUUCAGAGCUGUUCAGAGUCAAAAUGUCCCCGUUACCAGGCAACGCUGCUCAGCUGGAUUUAGAACACUGGAAAGCCUGGAACCCACCAUGGCUGCAAUAUCUGAGCGAACGGGGAGGGAGGGGGCGCUGCUGCUGGCUCGGUGGUCCAGUUGGGCCCAGGUGAAAGGCUGGGAUAAGAGCUGCCUCUAGGCUCUGAGCACUCACUUCCCUCGGGCCAAGAGUAGGGUGAGUGCCCUGUCGCCCUCAAUCCUCAACAUUGCCGUCUAGCUUGAUACCAUUGUUCUCACUUUACAAAUAAGGAAACUGAGGCCCGUGAAGUCACACCCCUGGCCCAAGGGCCCACAGCAGAUGAAACCCAGAUUCGGUUUUCCACCCAGAAUGUUGAAAGCUAUGCCUCCCACAGGGCUGACCCUUGGGCCACGCCAGGAUCGUCCUCAGCAAGUUCCAGCCAGUGGACCGCAAGGAGACUGACACGUCGCUUCCGAGCUGAGCCAGUUGAGAGCUGCCGGUGGGAGACGGAGAGAGCUGCUCCAUCUCAGUCCUCCCGACCACACGGACCCCGGGGGCCAUGUGCUCUAAAUGGAGGAGGGCUGCCCGUCCUCACGAGCCUUUAGGUGAGUGAGGAGCCAGCCUGGAUGGCGUUUAACCACCGAGACUCCAGGUUUGUCUGUUAUGGCAGCUGGUGUUAAAUACCCCGACACAUUCAGACCCCAGAGUUAGAAGAGAGCAAAGCAACUUGGUAUAUAGGAAGUGAUGGAAUGUCAUGCUUUCAAUAAAAAGUAAGCUGGCUAACAUUUAGUGAAGUUAUUACGAACCAGACAUCGUUCUAAGAACUCUAUGUUCGUUAAAUCACUUAGUCCGCAUCUUCCGUACCUGUGGGACAGGGAUCUAUUAUCAUCAUUCCCAUCUUACAGAUGGGAAAACAGAGGCACAGAGACGGGCGGUAACUUCCCAAGAUCACACAGCUGGGAAGGGUUGAAGCCAGGAUUUCAGCUCAGACAGCCAGACUCCAGGGUCCACGUGUUCAUCCCUUAUCUAAAGAUGGCCAGCGCAGGAUCCACUGAAAAGCUGCUGUGGGGGUGUGCAGGGCACGCCCGGGAUCUGUCGGGUCCUGCAGUCACAGCGAAGCCGCUGAGGGGGAGGGUGAAGGGGCAAUGGGGGGUGCUCAGGUCUCAGUUACUCCUCAACUGGGUAUCUGUGACAGACUGAGUAACGGCCCCCCAAAGACGCCCACAUCCUGAUCCCCACAGCCUAUAAAUGUGUGACCUUACAUGGCCAAAGGGACUCUGCAGACGUGAUUAAGCCAAGGAUCUCGAGAUGACGGGAUUAUCCUGGAUUCUCUGGGUGGAACCAAUGUCCACACCAGGCUCCUUAGGAGAGGGGGACAGGAGGUCAGGGUGAGAAAAGAUGAUGUGACAACGGAAGCAGAGAGCGAGGUUGGAAGAUGCUACGCUGCUGGCUUUGAGGAUGGAGGAAGGGGCCACAAGCCAAGGAAUGCAGGCAGCCUCUAGAAGGUGGAAAUGGCAAGGGAACAGAUUCUCGCUCGAAGCCUCCAGAAUGAACACAGACCUGCCCACACCUUGGUUUUAGGACUUCUGGCCUCCAGAACCGUAAGAGAAGAAAUCUGUGUUGUUUGAAGUCACCAAGUCUGAGGCCGUCUGUCGCAGCAGCAACAGGACACGCACACAGUGGCCUUGGCAAGGCCCCUUUGAGCUUGCAGGCCUCCAGGGCCUCAUCUGUACGAUAAGGAGAGUGACGUCUUCUCCCUGGCCUGUGGGGAGACUUAAACAAGAUAAUAAAGCGUGAAAAGCCUUGGGAAGUGUCCCACGAAUGAGGAUGGAAUUUCAGUCCACUUCAGCACAUGCGUGACCUCUCUCUGGCUGUUAGCUCUGGGGUCAAUGCUCCUCCUCCCACCACACUCGGUGCUGGGGGAUCUCCUGGCAUGUCCUCCAUGGUCUCCCCCUGCAGACUCAGCUUCUAGAGGAACGGCAGAUGGCUGGCCAGGGGUCAGUGGAUUGGCCAGAGCUCAGGCGGCCGUGGGACAGAACCAGAGUGUCACAUCAGAGAAGACAACAGCUCGUGGUGGCCACUUCUUCCUCUGCAGCUGGCCCGCCCUGUCUACCGGAUCAGGUGGGGUCCUCCAGGUGGCUUGUUAACUAUUGAGGGCACGGGGCAAGCCAGGAAAGCUAAUCGCACCAAGGGGCUCCAGCCAACCCUCAACACACUUGCCUUCCGUUAUGGCCUCUGGCUUCUGCAGAGGGUCAGUCUUCCAGGAGUUCACUCCUCAGCAUUCCAACAGCAUCCAGCACAGCCGGCACAGUUGGCUGCCUACCCACCAGUCACUCCUCCCUUUCUGCCUGCUCCCCCGGAUCCACCCAUUCCCAGGGCAUGAGUUUUGGUUGGUCUAAGCCAG
Molecule: long non-coding RNA, 5680 nt
Organism: Equus caballus (horse)
Lineage: Eukaryota; Metazoa; Chordata; Mammalia; Perissodactyla; Equidae
Source: Ensembl